GUGGACCUACGGGACGCAGCAGUGAGGAAUAUUGGUCAAUGGGCGGAAGCCUGAACCAGCCAAGUCGCGUGAGGGAAUAAGGCCCUACGGGUCGUAAACCUCUUUUGCCGGGGAGCAAGGGCGGGGACGUGUCCCGGCCCGGAGAGUACCCGGAGAAAAAGCAUCGGCUAACUCCGUGCCAGCAGCCGCGGUAAUACGGAGGAUGCGAGCGUUAUCCGGAUUUAUUGGGUUUAAAGGGUGCGUAGGCGGGCUUUUAAGUCAGCUGGAAAAAUUCGGGGCUCAACCCCGUCCGGUCGUUGAAACUG
This 305-nucleotide ribosomal RNA is filed under the name uncultured bacterium. RNAcentral describes it as "bacterial SSU rRNA". It matches the Rfam family "Bacterial small subunit ribosomal RNA", at positions 333 to 635 of the family's 1533-position model. The record is from RNAcentral.